Molecule: ribosomal RNA, 823 nt
Filed under: Bacillus subtilis
Lineage: Bacteria; Bacillati; Bacillota; Bacilli; Caryophanales; Bacillaceae
Description: bacterial SSU rRNA
Rfam family: Bacterial small subunit ribosomal RNA
Source: RNAcentral
UGCGGCGUGCUAAUACAUGCAAGUCGAGCGGACAGAUGGGAGCUUGCUCCCUGAUGUUAGCGGCGGACGGGUGAGUAACACGUGGGUAACCUGCCUGUAAGACUGGGAUAACUCCGGGAAACCGGGGCUAAUACCGGAUGGUUGUUUGAACCGCAUGGUUCAAACAUAAAAGGUGGCUUCGGCUACCACUUACAGAUGGACCCGCGGCGCAUUAGCUAGUUGGUGAGGUAACGGCUCACCAAGGCAACGAUGCGUAGCCGACCUGAGAGGGUGAUCGGCCACACUGGGACUGAGACACGGCCCAGACUCCUACGGGAGGCAGCAGUAGGGAAUCUUCCGCAAUGGACGAAAGUCUGACGGAGCAACGCCGCGUGAGUGAUGAAGGUUUUCGGAUCGUAAAGCUCUGUUGUUAGGGAAGAACAAGUACCGUUCGAAUAGGGCGGUACCUUGACGGUACCUAACCAGAAAGCCACGGCUAACUACGUGCCAGCAGCCGCGGUAAUACGUAGGUGGCAAGCGUUGUCCGGAAUUAUUGGGCGUAAAGGGCUCGCAGGCGGUUUCUUAAGUCUGAUGUGAAAGCCCCCGGCUCAACCGGGGAGGGUCAUUGGAAACUGGGGAACUUGAGUGCAGAAGAGGAGAGUGGAAUUCCACGUGUAGCGGUGAAAUGCGUAUAGAUGUGGAGGAACACCAGUGGCGAAGGCGACUCUCUGGCCUGCAUCUGACCCUGAGGAGCGAUUAUCGAGGGAAAGAUCAGGUUCAGAUACGGUGGUCCUCCACGUCUAUACGAUUAUCGGCGAAACGUAGGGAGGUUUCCCCCCCCCUC